RNAcentral lists this ribosomal RNA (1509 nucleotides) under uncultured Bordetella sp. RNAcentral's name for it is "partial 16S-23S ribosomal RNA intergenic spacer". It matches the Rfam family "Bacterial small subunit ribosomal RNA". Lineage: Bacteria; Pseudomonadati; Pseudomonadota; Betaproteobacteria; Burkholderiales; Alcaligenaceae. The record is from RNAcentral.
AGUUCGAUCAUGGCUCAGAUUGAACGCUGGCGGGAUGCUUUACACAUGCAAGUCGAACGGCAGCACACGGACUUCGGUCUGGUGGCGAGUGGCGAACGGGUGAGUAAUGUAUCGGAACGUACCUCUAGUAAGGGGGAUAACUACGCGAAAGGUAGCUAAUACCGCAUACGCCCUUCGGGGGAAAGCGGGGACCUUUCGGGCCUCUGCACUAUUAGAGCGGCCGAUAUCGGAUUAGCUAGUUGGUGGGGUAACGGCUCACCAAGGCGACGAUCCGUAGCUGGUUUGAGAGGACGACCAGCCACACUGGGACUGAGACACGGCCCAGACUCCUACGUGGAAGGCAGCAGUGGGGAAUUUUGGACAAUGGGAAACCCUCGAUCCAGCCAUCCCGCGUGUGCGAUGAAGGCCUUCGGGGUUGUAAAGCACUUUUGGCAGGAAAGAAACGGCACGGGAUAAUACCCCGUGCAACUGACGGUACCGAGAAUAAGCACCGGCUAACUACAUGCCAGCAGCCGCGGUAAUACGGGGUGCAAGCGUUAAUCGGAAUUACUGGGCGUAAAGCGUGCGCAGGCGGUUCGGAAAGAAAGAUGUGAAAUCCCAGAGCUUAACUUUGGAACUGCAUUUUUAACUACCGAGCUAGAGUGUGUCAGAGGGGAGGUGGAAUUCCGCGUGUAGUGCAGUGAAAUGCGUAGAUAUGCGGAGGAACACCGAUGGCGAAGGCAGCCUCCUGGGAUAACACUGACGCUCAUGCACGAAAGCGUGGGGAGCAAACAGGAUUAGAUACCCUGGUAGUCCACGCCCUAAACGAUGUCAACUAGCUGUUGGGGCCUUCGGGCCUUGGUAGCGCAGCUAACGCGGUGAAGUUGACCGCCUGGGGAGUACGGUCGCAAGAUUAAAACUCAAAGGAAUUGACGGGGACCCACACAAGCGGUGGAUGAUGUGGAUUAAUUCGAUGCAACGCGAAAACCUUACCUACCCUUGACAUGUCUGGAAUCCCGAAGAGAUUUGGGAGUGCUCGCAAGAGAACCGGAACACAGGUGCUGCAUGGCUGUCGUCAGCUCGUGUCGUGAGAUGUUGGGUUAAGUCCCGCAACGAGCGCAACCCUUGUCAUUAGUUGCUACGAAAGGGCACCUAAUGAGACUACCGGUGACAAACCGGAGGGGAAGGUGGGGAUGACGUCAAGUCCUCAUGGCCCUUAUGGGUAGGGCUUCACACGUCAUACAAUGGUCGGGACAGAGGGUCGCCAACCCGCGAGGGGGAGCCAAUCCCAGAAACCCGAUCGUAGUCCGGAUCGCAGUCUGCAACUCGACUGCGUGAAGUCGGAAUCGCUAGUAAUCGCGGAUCAGCAUGUCGCGGUGAAUACGUUCCCGGGUCUUGUACACACUGCCCGUCACACCAUGGGAGUGGGUUUUACCAGAAGUGGCGGCCUAACUGUAAGGAGGGCGAUUACCACGGUAGGAUUCAUGACUGGGGUGAAGUCGUACGAAGGUAGCUCUGCUACUACCUGAU